Nomascus leucogenys (northern white-cheeked gibbon) is the source of this 1032-nucleotide long non-coding RNA. RefSeq lists it as uncharacterized. The transcript has 3 exons. The record is from RefSeq and is a predicted model, not a curated record. Lineage: Eukaryota; Metazoa; Chordata; Mammalia; Primates; Hylobatidae.
UCCCUCACGGGAGGGAUCAGCAGCCCCUCAUUCUUCAAUGAUCACAUUCAAAAUCUACAUGGGGGGUUGUUGAGAUCUCAGAGGGGAGAAGGAGGAAGCCUCCAUGCACUCCAGGAGGAACGGAGACCCUCGACCUUGUUCCAUCUCCCCUUCCUCCCCACCCCAAACCCAAGCGGCUGCAACAUUCCACUCCACACCCAGCAGGCACGGGGUCCGGCUAGGAUUCCAUUUCUUGGGAGAGAUGGGCCACAGGACUGCGUCCUGGCUUUCAGGGCCCUGGGGCGCCUAACUCUACCACCCCCGCUGUGGAGGCCGAGGCAAGGUUCGCCCGCAGACAUGGGUUUGUGUUUGCUCUAUUCCUGGAAGACAUGCGCCGCCACCGAGUCACUGGGCUUUUGACUCAGCUGUUUCCUCCUGCAGAUGAACCCAAACCCAGGCUUUGGAAUCAGCAGAGCCAGCUGGGGCACCAGCCUCCCACUGGCGUCUGUGUGACUUGGGGCAAUUCUCUUGACCUCUCUGAGCUUCGGUUUUCAGUCUCUCUGAAAUGGGAGGAACCAACUAGGCCAGCGUCUCAAUCCCUGGACUCAAGCCUUGGACAUCUCAAGUGGAUGGAGUUUCUGCCUGGCCGGGUGCCAUGACACCUGCACACGUGGCAACAAAGAAAAGGGAAGAGAAAGACUCCAUGUUGACUCUGCCUGGCUUCCAGACAGAGUUCCACUCUUGUUGCCCAGGCUGGAGUACAAUGGCGCAAUCUCCACUCACUACAACCUCUGCCUCCCGGGUUCAAGUGAUUCUCCAGCCUCAGCCUCCUGAGUAGCUGGGAUUACAAGUGCCCGCCACCACGUUCGGCUAAUUUUUGUAUUUUUAGUCAAGACAGGGUUUCACCAUGUUGGCCAGGCUGGUCUCAAACUCCUGACCUCAGGUGAUCCUCCUGCCUCAGCCUCCCAAAGCGCCAGGAUUACAGGCAUGAGCCACUGCACCUGGCCAAUGGAUCCAUUUCGAAAAUCUCUUAAUAAAUUUUACAAAAACUCA